RNAcentral lists this ribosomal RNA (869 nucleotides) under uncultured bacterium. RNAcentral's name for it is "bacterial SSU rRNA". It matches the Rfam family "Bacterial small subunit ribosomal RNA", at positions 28 to 896 of the family's 1533-position model. The record is from RNAcentral.
GAUGAACGCUAGCGGCAGGCCUAAUACAUGCAAGUCGAGGGGCAGCAGGGAUAGCAAUAUUCGCUGGCGACCGGCGCACGGGUGCGUAACACGUAUACAAUCUGCCUUUAACUGGGGGAUAGCCCGGAGAAAUCCGGAUUAAUACCCCAUAACAAUGGAACUGGCAUCAGUUCUAUUUAAAAGCUCCGGCGGUUAGAGAUGAGUAUGCGUCUGAUUAGCUAGUUGGUGAGGUAACGGCUCACCAAGGCGACGAUCAGUAGGGGAUCUGAGAGGAUUAACCCCCACACGGAUACUGAGACACGGAUCCGACUCCUACGGGAGGCAGCAGUAAGGAAUAUUGGACAAUGCCCGCAAGGGUGAUCCAGCCAUGCCGCGUGCAGGAAGACAGCCCUAUGGGUCGUAAACUGCUUUUACACCGGAGAAAACCCCACUACGUGUAGUGGGCUGAUAGUAUGGUGAGAAUAAGCAUCGGCUAACUUCGUGCCAGCAGCCGCGGUAAGACGAAGGAUGCAAGCGUUAUCCGGAUUCAUUGGGUUUAAAGGGAGCGUAGGUGGCCUUAUAAGUCAGUGGUGAAAUCUUCGAGCUUAACUCGGAAAUUGCCAUUGAUACUGUAGGGCUUGAGUAUAGUUGCCGUUGGCGGAAUAUGACAUGUAGUGGUGAAAUACAUAGAGAUGUCAUAGAACACCGAUUGCGAAGGCAGCUGACGAAACUAUAACUGACACUGAGGCUCGAAAGUGCGGGGAUCAAACAGGAUUAGAUACCCUGGUAGUCCGCACUGUAAACGAUGAUUACUCGCUGCUAGAGGGCAACUUUUAGUGGCUUAGCGAAAGCGAUAAGUAAUCCACCUGGGGAGUACGCCGGCAACGGUG